GACGAACGCUGGCGGCGUGCUUAACACAUGCAAGUCGAACGGACCGGCCCUGCUUUUGUGGGGUGCUCGAGUGGCGACCGGGUGAGUAACCCGUGAGUUACCUGUCCUUGACUUUGGGAUAACCUCAGGCAACUGGGGCUAAUACCGGAUAGGACCUCCUGCUGAAUGGUGGGGGUUGGAAUGUUUCGGCGGUUGGGGAUGGACUCGCGGCGUAUCAGCUUGUUGGUGGGGUAGUGGCUUACCAAGGCUUUGACAGGUAGCCGGCCUGCGAGGGUGACCGGCCAAAUUGGGACUGGGAUACGGCCCAGACUCCUACGGGAGGCAGCAGUGGGGAAUAUUGCACAAUGGGCGGAAGCCUGAUGCAGCAACGCCGCGUGCGGGAUGACGGCCUUCGGGUUGUAAACCGCUUUCGCCUGUGACGAAGCGUGAGUGACGGUAAUGGAUAAAGAAGCACCGGCUAACUACGUG
This 468-nucleotide ribosomal RNA is filed under the name uncultured bacterium. RNAcentral describes it as "partial 16S ribosomal RNA". It matches the Rfam family "Bacterial small subunit ribosomal RNA", at positions 28 to 507 of the family's 1533-position model. The record is from RNAcentral.